AACGAACGCUGGCGGCAUGCCUAACACAUGCAAGUCGAACGAGACCUUCGGGUCUAGUGGCGCACGGGUGCGUAACGCGUGGGAACCUGCCCUUAGGUUCGGAAUAACUCCCCGAAAGGGGUGCUAAUACCGGAUAAUGUCUUCGGACCAAAGAUUUAUCGCCUUUGGAUGGGCCCGCGUUGGAUUAGCUAGUUGGUAGGGUAAAAGCCUACCAAGGCGACGAUCCAUAGCUGGUCUGAGAGGAUGAUCAGCCACACUGGGACUGGGACACGGCCCAGACUCCUACGGGAGGCAGCAGUGGGGAAUAUUGGGCAAUGGGCGAAAGCCUGAUCCAGCAAUGCCGCGUGAGUGAUGAAGGCCUUAGGGUUGUAAAGCUCUUUUACCCGGGAUGAUAAUGACAGUACCGGGAGAAUAAGCGCCGACUAACUCCGUG
RNAcentral lists this ribosomal RNA (433 nucleotides) under uncultured bacterium. RNAcentral describes it as "partial 16S ribosomal RNA". It matches the Rfam family "Bacterial small subunit ribosomal RNA", at positions 29 to 507 of the family's 1533-position model. The record is from RNAcentral.